RNAcentral lists this non-coding RNA (28 nucleotides) under Mus musculus (house mouse). The record is from RNAcentral. Lineage: Eukaryota; Metazoa; Chordata; Mammalia; Rodentia; Muridae.
UGCCUAGGUGUUUUGUACAAGGUUCUGG